This 1575-nucleotide long non-coding RNA is filed under the name Daucus carota (carrot). RNAcentral describes it as "long non-coding RNA (DCAR_LNC003848)". Lineage: Eukaryota; Viridiplantae; Streptophyta; Magnoliopsida; Apiales; Apiaceae. The record is from RNAcentral.
UCCUUUCUUUAAAGAAAAUCAUUUAUAAUAUUAAUAAAAAUAUUUUUAAAAAUCCGGGUUAUUACAAUCUACCCUCCUUAUAGGGAUUCCGUCCUCGGAAUCAAAGAAAGAAGGAGGACGAAAAAUCUGUAAAAUCCAUAUUAAUCCAAAUAACAGAAAUAAUUACAUUCACACUUUUCACAUAAUCAUAUCACUAUUCCAUUAAAGCCAACAAUAAUAUCAACAUAUUAGAUCUAUAAUAAUCAUAAACUAAUUUUAAAACAUGGGAUAUUACAUUCUACCCCCCUUAUAAGGAUUCCGUCCUCGGAAUCCUCCGAAGAAACUAAAACGUAUCAUCAUACAUCUUUGAUCGAUCUUGGCAUACCUUUGACUUUAAUGAAAAAGGAAAAUCAAACUUUUAUAAUUGCAAAAUUCAUUCCCCAAGAAUCGAUCUUUGGGAAUUUUCGAAUAGAACAAGGUGUUUUCAAACUAGGUUACAUUGGAAUACAAGAGUGACUGGGAGAUCAAUACGAUCAAAUGAACUUAAUGUUGCGUGUCCACAUUAGACACUACUAAAGGUUUUUAACCUUCUUGUAAUCACAACACACACAAGUGAUGGCGUCCCAUCCAACUCCUAUCACACAGACAGGUAUACCUUGUGUCCCCUAUACAUAGGGUUGUUCAUCCCAAUCAGAUGGAAAGAAUCCAAGAAAUCUCAAGGAGCAUCAAGAAUAUUAGGGAUUAUCGAGGGAUAUAUUAGGGAACAUCGAAAAGAUAUCAAGGAAUGUCAAAGAGUGUCAAAGAAUGUCAACGAAUAUCAACGAAUAUUAAGGGACAUCAAAGAAUAUGGAAGAAUAUCAAGGAAUAUCAAAGAAUAUCAAAUAAUAUCAAGGAAUUCCACUGUCUCUUCACAACAAACCUUUAUCACACAUCUUUGCUUUCCAACUCAUACCAAUAAUCAAUAUCAAUGUCAUCUUAGAAUUUGAGAAAUUGAAUAUCUCAUUUAUCAAAACUUUUGUAGAAAAGAUAUCAUGAUAAUAUCUCACUGAUAAGAAAACAAUCAAAGGAAUCUUUAGUUGAAGAGAGGUAUUGCCAAGGUCUUCUCAGAUUCCGACUCUACUUCGAUAAAUCAUUAUACAAUAUAUGUCUUCUUUUCAACGUUCUCGAUAAUCAAUCGAUUUGACUCGUAAUAGCCUCGUAAGAUGUCAUCGUAGACGUUAUCGUCCGUAACAACUCUGGCCCAUGUAGUUUACAUUCUUCUACUUUAUCCCAAUUGCCUUUGAAAUCCAUAGCACAACACGUAACGUAUCUUCGAUUGUCUGGAUCAUCAACCUGUGGGUUAUGGGCCCACCUUUGAUGCCAUUUGAAAUCCCGAUUAGCUCGAAGCGUUGUCGUCGAGGACUAACGUUCUAACUUACUCGCAGACAUUACCUCUAAUAGCUGGACUCAACUCCACAUACUCUCUAUCAUUCACUUCUCACCUAUCCACCUCUAUCUAUAAAUCUCUCCUUCUGAUUCAGUACAACUCAUAUCAUACACUAACUCUUCAUAUCUCACAAAACAAUAUACUUUUCCAAAUAUCCAACAUGGUCAACA